This 330-nucleotide ribosomal RNA is filed under the name Triticum aestivum (bread wheat). Its description in RNAcentral is "partial small subunit ribosomal RNA". Lineage: Eukaryota; Viridiplantae; Streptophyta; Magnoliopsida; Poales; Poaceae. The record is from RNAcentral.
AUGCGCCCUUUUUACGGAGAACAGAUAGUGCCAUGCAAUAAAAGUCAUUGUCCACCGAUCCUUGAAUACACACGUCUAGAAUUUCUUCGGCACCAUGAGGAUAGAAUGGCGAGUGAUCAAAUUUACAUCCCAUUUCUUUUUACGAAGGAUCUUGAUGGAGUCGAACCAUCAUUCCCAGCAAUUUGUUUGCUGGAAUGCUCUUUCCAGUUCAGAGCUGAAGAUCAACCAUUUAUUCAUCUUUUAUCUUUUAAAUUGAAAAAUAUUCAGCUCAAAGCUAUUUCAGACUCAAGCACAGCCCCAAGAUUCUCCAAUCCAAUUGAAUUUGAAUGA